Eupeodes corollae is the source of this 1872-nucleotide RNA transcript. RefSeq lists it as uncharacterized. The record is from RefSeq and is a predicted model, not a curated record. Lineage: Eukaryota; Metazoa; Arthropoda; Insecta; Diptera; Syrphidae. The transcript has 3 exons.
AGAGGUCGAUACAAAUCCAAAAAUCUAUUCGGCUUGCUGUCAUAAUUUUCAUCUGAGUGAAUCUUCGGCCAUAAGUUUUAACAAAAAUUAAGCCAAAAUAAAAGAAUCGUCUCAAUUCAAAGGAUCUCGAUCUAGUUGAUAUUUAAACUCUAGUCUAGAGUUUACAACAGAUAUUUCUGGUUGACUUAAUAGCUCUCAAGUGUCCCUAUUUUUUGUUUUUAACGAGAUAAUAGGUAGUAAACACAAUCACAAUGAGUGAUUGGAAAAUCCAGCGAGAUGAAGUUUUGAAACUAAUAAAUUUGUAUAGACAAAAUAAAUGCUUGUGGGAUUAUAGAAAUAGCGAGUAUAAACGAACUGACUUAAAGAGGGAUGCUUGGCAAAAAUUGUCCGAUGCUUUCGGAAAAGAAAUUAAUGAAGUGAAGAGAAAAAUAAAACAUUUACGUUCCUCCUACGUGAGUGAAAAGAAAAAGGUUGAUGAAUUUUGCGGAGUUGCUCCGGCCUAUCGCCCUAAUCUAUUUUAUUACGAUGACAUGAGUUUUCUAGAUCCAGUAAUAGUGCUGAGAAAAACGCUAACGUUCGAAAAAUUUGAAAAUGCGGAUCCCAUAGCGGAUUAUAGCGAAGAACACCUAGAGAAUACAAUGAGCGAACAUUAUAUUACCGAGGAAGAGGUAGCGACGCCACCAAUGUCUCCUAAAAGGCCUACUGAAACGCACCACAGGUCAAAGAAGAAGCUUCAUAGACUAGCUCCGUACUAUUCAAAGCUAAAUGAUGCAGUGAAUACACUUGCCGACAUUUCAAAAAGUACCUAUGAGGACACAGUGUAUACAGCGUUUGGAAAAACAAUAGCAUUACAGCUUAGUCAGCUUUCACCACUAGAAGCAACAGUUACAAUGUCCGAAAUACACCAAGUUUUAUCGAAAAACAUUAUAAAUGCGAUGAUACCAAAGUGCAGAGACAAAUCGUACAGAGGCUCAAGAGAAACCUUGAGUCAUAUGGACAGAAAAUUAUCCUUUUCACUGCGGGAAUCGAUCGAAAACGAAGCAGACGAUCAGUCGUGUGAUUUUGAUGAAGUUUGAAAUCUUUAUUGUUCAAUUAUUUAUUUGUUGUAUUUUUGUUUGAGUAAUAUACAUAUGCUUAGAAAAGUAAUGUGAAUGCGAAAAUUCGGUUUUAUUUAAUUAACCGUCAUUACAAGAGAAAGUUUAUUAAUUCAUCUGUAAUUUAUACAAUUAAAUUUGUACACCCCAUUUUUUUUUGUGAAAAUUAAAUCAAAUUUUAUUUAGUUAUUAGUUUUAUACCUACAUAAGUAAAAUUGUUUACUUUUUGAAAAAGUUUCAACGGAAAAUAAACUCAGUUUAUUCGUGGGAUUCCAUUACCGAGUACGACGAACGGCAACCAGGAGAAGCUACUCUAAGUGAGCAAGAUGUAACCGUUGAAGAUGUGAUAUUGCCACCCCACCCACUGCCGACAACUCUGAAGACAGCUGAAUCACAUUUCAAGGCCAGAAAAGAAAAACGCAGACUAUCACCAUAUUAUUCAAAGUUGGAUGCUGCAGUUAAUAAUCUUGAAGAGGCCACAAAAUCAAGUCCUGAGGACUCCAUAUACACUGCAUUUGCCAAGAUAGUAGAGAUGCAACUGAGCCAGCUUACGCUACUUGAUGCAACCGCUGCUAUGUCCGAAAUUCACCAGAUAUUAUCAAAGAGCAUCAUUAAGUCCAUGUUGUCAAACAAUAGAACCAAUAGAGAAAUAGAUGUGGACCUUGUAGACAAAAAACAAACCGUUCUUACAGGACCAAUCGAGAAUAAUUUACCAGACGAAUUUGAAGAAGUAUCUAUAUAAUAUUUAUUUGCCAAAUAUAGUUAAGUUAGUUGAAAU